CCCAACAAGUUUAAUUUAUAUUUUUAAAUUUUAUACGUUUAGGUUGCGGGGAUCUAGAAAAUCUUACCUUUGGAAGCGAAUCUCGGAAUUACAUAAAUUGAUAAUAGAUAUUCAGACUGCUCAUGCUAAGUUGGGCAGUCAAGACGGAAACAGCCGAGAACACUGAUCAAGGUCCCAAAUGAUUGUUAAGUGAAAUUAAGGACGUAGCAAUAUCGUAUACAGCUGUGAAGUGAGCCUGGCAGUCGCUACUUAUAAUGAUCGUACGUAACAACGCAUCAGCAGUAUUAAAUUUUAUUAUUUAAUAAUAAAUUUUAAAUGAUAGUAGCGCCGAAAAUUUAACGGGUCUUAAACAAUCAACCGAUAUCGUGUUGGUUUUAUAAAAAAAUUAAAUUUUUUUAUAAAAUCUAGGUAGUAGAACAUUCAGUUUAACUGUUAAUUAAAUAGUGUUUCAUUGUUUAUUAGGUUACUGAAGAGAGAAUGCUGACAUGAG
This 490-nucleotide ribosomal RNA is filed under the name Galerina marginata. RNAcentral describes it as "bacterial LSU rRNA". It matches the Rfam family "Bacterial large subunit ribosomal RNA", at positions 860 to 1306 of the family's 2925-position model. Lineage: Eukaryota; Fungi; Basidiomycota; Agaricomycetes; Agaricales; Galerinaceae. The record is from RNAcentral.